CUGAAGAAAUCAAAGUGAGU
RNAcentral lists this non-coding RNA (20 nucleotides) under Arabidopsis thaliana (thale cress). The record is from RNAcentral. Lineage: Eukaryota; Viridiplantae; Streptophyta; Magnoliopsida; Brassicales; Brassicaceae.